ACGCUCGACACCUACAGGAGGCAGCAGUGGGGAAUAUUGCACAAUGGGGGAAACCCUGAUGCAGCGACGCCGCGUGAGUGAGGAAGUAUUUCGGUAUGUAAAGCUCUAUCAGCAGGGAAGAAAAUGACGGUACCUGAGUAAGAAGCCCCGGCUAACUACGUGCCAACAGCCGCGGUAAUCUGAGCGGGCUGGCAAGGC
RNAcentral lists this ribosomal RNA (198 nucleotides) under uncultured bacterium. Its description in RNAcentral is "partial 16S ribosomal RNA". It matches the Rfam family "Bacterial small subunit ribosomal RNA", at positions 328 to 539 of the family's 1533-position model. The record is from RNAcentral.